GACGAACGCUGGCGGCGUGCUUAACACAUGCAAGUCGAACGGUGAAGCGCCUUCCUUUUUGGUGGGUGUGGAUGAGUGGCGAACGGGUGAGUAACACGUGAGUAACCUGCCCCCUUCUUCUGGAUAACCGCAUGAAAGUGUGGCUAAUACGGGAUAUUCUGGGUCUGUCGCAUGAUGGGUCUGGGAAAGAUAUUGUUUCGGUGGGGGAUGGGCUCGCGGCCUAUCAGCUUGUUGGUGGGGUGAUGGCCUACCAAGGCGGUGACGGGUAGCCGGCCUGAGAGGGUGGACGGUCACACUGGGACGGAGACACGGCGCAGACUCCUACGGGAGGCAGCAGUGGGGAAUAUUGCACAAUGGGCGCAAGCCUGAUGCAGCGACGCCGCGUGAGGGAUGGAGGCCUUCGGGUUGUGAACCUCUUUCGCCAGUGAAGCAGGCCUGCCUCGUUUGUGGGUGGGUUGACGGUAGCUGGAGAAGAAGCGCCGGCUAACUACGUG
RNAcentral lists this ribosomal RNA (494 nucleotides) under uncultured bacterium. Its description in RNAcentral is "partial 16S ribosomal RNA". It matches the Rfam family "Bacterial small subunit ribosomal RNA", at positions 28 to 507 of the family's 1533-position model. The record is from RNAcentral.